RNAcentral lists this long non-coding RNA (2210 nucleotides) under Nicotiana benthamiana. RNAcentral describes it as "long non-coding RNA (NBEN_LNC042145)". The record is from RNAcentral. Lineage: Eukaryota; Viridiplantae; Streptophyta; Magnoliopsida; Solanales; Solanaceae.
ACAUUCUUCUAUUUUUGGCCCGUCUCUAAAAUAAAAGCAAAAAAUCCUAAUAAUUACAUGCUUAAAAUGUAAUAUAUUAAUUGCUAGAUUUAGACAAAUAUUCAGUAACAAAACUAAAUAAAAUUAAAACUUCAACUAUUUAUUUGUAUUCAUGCUUCAUGUUAUCAACUUAUAAGGUGUACCAGUUGUGUACCUGAUAUUAGAAGCAAAAGAAGAAGAUGAGUGAUCAGCAGGAUGGCAGUAGCAAUACACAUAAACAACAAACAACCAGUAGCACUAAUGCAGUAGCCCAGAAACAGAGUUUGAAAACCGGUGGAGCAGUAACCCAAAAACCAACCAGACUUAGGAAAAACCAAGCAAAGACCCAGAAAUCCCAAUAACUCUUACAUGUAUGACAGAAUGAACCCAAAAAGACGGAAGAGGCAACGGGAUAAUUCUGAUUUUUUGUUCUUUAAGAUGCGGAGUAGAACACUCUCAAACUACAGACUCUCUAUGAUUUUAGAAAAUUAGUACUCUUCUCUCAGUCCUCAUCUCUCAAGAUUAAAAGUCUAUUUUUAUCUCCUCUUUAGUUCCGAAAUUUCUCUCUCCAAAUUCCUCCUCGCCUAAGUGUUAAAUGACUGCUAUUAUAUACCCCAAAUGCAAGACCAUUUCCUCUAUUCUUUUUAACUAUUAACUUUUACUUUUAAAUUAUUAUUACUAACCUUUUUUCUCUUUUUUUACCUUAUUCUUUUUAACUAUUAACUUUACUUUUAAAAUAUUAUUACUAACCCUUUUUCUCUUUUUUACUUAUUCACCCCCAAUAUUCUUCAACCAUCUAAUUAUUAUUACCCUACUAUUUCUAAUUCCUAAUCAACAAAAGCAGUCAAACGUGGACCCCACUAUCCACUCUCUUUUUUACUUUAAUCAUAAUGCUCCCCGCAUGUCUUGUCCCAUCUUUUUACUUCACAUAAUUAUGUUUCCCAUUAUAUUUUUAAAUAAUUCUUUAUUUUUAAUUCCAAAAAUAUCCCCUCAAACUACUAAAAUUACUAUUAUACCCUCAUACAUUUCAAUAUGCACUAAGAACGUAUCAAUUUUUCUAAAUCAAUUAACCAAAAUAUAGCAGCUAAACCAAUUCUUAAUCAAAUUCAACAACAGUUCAAACUAAAUGAUGAACAACAAAGAAUCAACUGAAAAUUAUUUUGACUGAACAACAUUUUUAACAACAUACAUACUUUCAGAUUCAACAAUAACAAAUAAGUAAAUUCAAAUCACUAAACUCAGAUUCAAAUUAAACUUAACAGAUCAAACAAACAAAUUCAAAUCUCUAACUCAGAUCUAAACUUAGACUUAACACAACAAACAGAUUCAAAUUACAAAACUCAAUAAUCAAUUGAACUUGAACUAGUAGGAAAAUCGUCAAAACGCACACACAUAAUUUCAACGAAUAUGCAGUAGGAAUAUCAUGCGAAAUUUUAUCAAAAUGAACCUACGUAUUAAAACGAAACCACAAAUAGAUCCGUGAAUAACAUAGAUUCGAGGUAAAAGAUGUGACCUUUACUGCUACACUUUCUUGCUCCGUUACACACAGUGCAAACAACACUUCAAAGAAAAAGCAAAAAAUCUGUGAACGAGCUACGGCUAACCUUCAUGAUAACGAUCCGACGUCGAACAAUGGUGAACUUUCGACGAAACGAAGCUUCGUUCACAACACUAUUUUGACACUUGACAGACAUACGCGGACUCGAACGGAACUUUGACGCACUGCCUCGAUGUAUGACUGAACAACCUUGGAUGGCUUUUCUCGUUUUGGACUUGAGGGUGGUCGACUGGAGAGGGGGGGUUGGUCGUUUCCGGCGAGUUGGGGUGUUGAAGACGUGAGGGGUCGUUAAUGGCGACGAAAUGACGGGGCUGAUGAUUGAAGCAGCAGUGACGACGAAGAGGCAGCAGCUGGCGGCGUUGCUGCUGGUUCGUGAAGGUUCAGCGGCUGCUGCUGGUUCACGCUGCUAGGAGGGCUACUGGGCGUGGAGCUGGACAGUGGUGGUCAUGGUGUUUGGACGUGAAGGUUUCCGGCAUGGGGAAGGUGCAGCGGCGAUGGGGGGCAGCAAUGGAGGUUGAAGGUGAAGGUAAAAGGCUAGGGUUUUUUAGUUUGGAGAAGAUGACCUCAUGAGGAAGAAGGUAAGGUCUUCAAAAAUUUGUUAUGCGGCUGAAAUUUAGUGUGUGCAGGGUUUGGG